RNAcentral lists this ribosomal RNA (465 nucleotides) under Vreelandella stevensii. Its description in RNAcentral is "partial 16S ribosomal RNA". It matches the Rfam family "Bacterial small subunit ribosomal RNA", at positions 338 to 795 of the family's 1533-position model. The record is from RNAcentral. Lineage: Bacteria; Pseudomonadati; Pseudomonadota; Gammaproteobacteria; Oceanospirillales; Halomonadaceae.
CCUACGGGCGGCUGCAGUGGGGAAUAUUGGGCAAUGGGGGCAACCCUGAUCCAGCCAUGCCGCGUGUGUGAAGAAGGCCCUCGGGUUGUAAAGCACUUUCAGGGAGGAAGAACGCCUGGUGGUUAAUACCCAUCAGGAAAGACAUCACUCACAGAAGAAGCACCGGCUAACUCCGUGCCAGCAGCCGCGGUAAUACGGAGGGUGCGAGCGUUAAUCGGAAUUACUGGGCGUAAAGCGCGCGUAGGUGGCUUGAUAAGCCGGUUGUGAAAGCCCCGGGCUCAACCUGGGAACGGCAUCCGGAACUGUCAAGCUAGAGUGCAGGAGAGGAAGGUAGAAUUCCCGGUGUAGCGGUGAAAUGCGUAGAGAUCGGGAGGAAUACCAGUGGCGAAGGCGGCCUUCUGGACUGACACUGACACUGAGGUGCGAAAGCGUGGGUAGCAAACAGGAUUAGAUACCCCGGUAGUC